This 694-nucleotide long non-coding RNA is filed under the name Vulpes vulpes (red fox). RNAcentral describes it as "lncRNA (ENSVVUG00000024262.1)". Lineage: Eukaryota; Metazoa; Chordata; Mammalia; Carnivora; Canidae. The record is from RNAcentral.
AAAAAAAUCAGCCACUUGACUCUUUACCUUGACUGUUGGCUUCCCUGUCUGUAGCAGGUCUGAACAAGGAGAGUAAAAUAAGCCCUACCUUUAAAGCAGUUAAAUUUUUACUAUUGCCAUGAAACAAAGUAUUUUAAUAACUUACAAGAGAACUUUUUAUCACUUGAGUUAUAUCAGGAAAGAAAUACUACAUAAAUAUAAGGAAUAGCGGGAGACAAAAAAGAAAAAAAAUGAAUAUAUUCAUUCCAUCUACUUACAAGGAACUAUCUCUCUGUCUAAAAUAAUACACAGUGGCUUCAUAUACAGGCUUUAUCCAAAAAUUGGCAAGAAAGGAGGUGUCCAAUAAAUGUCUGUCGAAUAACUGUGGGUUCUUAAUCAAAUGAUGUUAUUCCAACACUAAGCUUGAUAAACAACGUCAUCAUGAUUUCAGGCAUAACUGAAGCAUGGAAACAGAUGAACACAUCACACAGCAUCAUUGCAUUACUUUAGAUUCUUUGCCUGAACUGUCCAAAAGGAGAAAUCCAAAUGGAAGAUUUCAUCCAAGUGGCCAUAAGAGUGAAGUUGUUUCUGUCAUUCAUUGCUUUUCUGAAGAUAUCCAUCUAAAGAAGAAAGAAUAUAUAACAUACGUUGUGAAUUUUCUGCAACAAUUGCUACAUGUAACAACAAUGGUGAAUCUACAUUCUACCAUAGUAAG